Molecule: long non-coding RNA, 145 nt
Organism: Bombus impatiens (common eastern bumble bee)
Lineage: Eukaryota; Metazoa; Arthropoda; Insecta; Hymenoptera; Apidae
Exons: 3
Source: RefSeq, a predicted model, not a curated record
GUCCACGAUACUACACUAUCAUUUGAUCUGAUAAAUCUACAGCACAUUUUCCUCUGUUGUAAUCUACCACUACCAUUGGUUUAUCAAAAACAUAAUUUUUUUUCUGGAUCUCUACCAUUUCAGCCGAAUGUUUCGUCGAAAUCAU